RNA transcript from Equus quagga, 4463 nucleotides. It is a transcript of the gene named kinesin family member 4A, with no coding region annotated. Lineage: Eukaryota; Metazoa; Chordata; Mammalia; Perissodactyla; Equidae. The transcript has 32 exons. The record is from RefSeq and is a predicted model, not a curated record.
UGAAACUUGGCGGUUAAAGCUCCUGUUGGAACAGGGCGGCAGGAGACAAGGGAAGGGACACUCAGUUUGAGACGGUGUUGAGAUAGGAUCAUGAAGGAAGAAGUGAAGGGAAUUCCUGUAAGAGUGGCACUGCGAUGUCGCCCUCUCGUCCCUAAAGAGAUUAGCGAGGGCUGCCAGAUGUGCCUUUCCUUCGUUCCCGGGGAACCUCAGGUGGUGGUUGGUACUGAUAAAUCCUUUACCUACGAUUUUGUGUUUGACCCCUCCACUGAACAGGAAGAAGUCUUCAAUACAGCAGUAGUGCCACUCAUUAAAGGCAUAUUUAAAGGAUACAAUGCAACUGUCCUGGCCUAUGGGCAGACUGGCUCUGGAAAAACCUAUUCAAUGGGAGGUACAUACACUGCAGAGCAAGAGAAUGAACCAACAGUUGGGGUCAUUCCUAGGGUAAUACAACUGCUCUUCAAAGAAAUUGAUAAAAGGAGCGACUUCGAAUUUACUCUGAAAGUAUCAUACUUGGAGAUUUACAAUGAAGAAAUCUUGGAUCUUCUUUGCCCAUCUCGUGAGAAAGCCUCUCAAAUAAAUAUACGGGAGGAUCCUAAGGAAGGCAUUAAGAUUGUGGGACUCACUGAGAAGACUGUUUUAGUUGCCCUGGAUACUGUUUCCUGUUUGGAGCAGGGCAACAACUCUCGGACUGUGGCCUCCACAGCUAUGAACUCCCAGUCAUCCCGAUCUCAUGCCAUCUUUACAAUCUCCAUAGAGCAAAGAAAGAAAAGUGACAAGAAUAGCAGUUUUCGCUCUAAGCUGCAUCUUGUAGACCUUGCUGGAUCAGAACGACAGAAGAAAACCAAGGCUGAAGGGGAUCGUCUAAAAGAGGGUAUUAAUAUUAACCGAGGCCUCCUAUGCUUGGGAAAUGUAAUCAGUGCUCUUGGAGAUGACAAAAAGGGUGGCUUUGUGCCCUACAGAGAUUCCAAGUUGACGCGACUGCUUCAAGAUUCUCUAGGAGGUAAUAGCCAUACUCUUAUGAUAGCCUGUGUGAGUCCUGCUGACUCCAAUCUAGAGGAAACAUUAAAUACCCUUCGCUAUGCUGACAGAGCAAGAAAAAUCAAGAACAAACCCAUUGUUAAUAUUGAUCCCCAGACAGCUGAACUUAAUCAUCUGAAGCAACAGGUACAACAGCUACAGGUCUUGUUGCUACAAGCCCAUGGAGGUACCCUGCCUGGAUCUAUAAAUGUAGAACCAUCAGAGAAUCUACAAUCCCUGAUGGAGAAGAAUCGGUCCCUGGUAGAGGAGAACGAAAAAUUAAGUCGUGGUCUGAGCGAGGCGGUUGGUCAGACAGCCCAGAUGUUGGAGAGGAUCAUUUUGACAGAACAAGCAAAUGAAAAAAUGAACGCCAAGCUAGAAGAACUCAGGCAUCAUGCAGCCUGCAAAGUGGAUCUUCAAAAGCUAGUGGAGACUUUAGAAGACCAGGAAUUAAAAGAAAAUGUAGAGAUAAUUCGUAACCUGCAGCAAGUGAUUACUCAGCUAUCGGAUGAAACUGUUGCUUGCAUGGCUGCAGCCAUUGAUACUACCGUGGAACCAGAAGCUCAGGUGGAAACCAGUCCGGAGACCAGCAGGUCUUCUGAUGCUUUCACCACUCAGCAUGCUCUACGUCAAGCUCAGAUGUCUAAGGAGCUGGUUGAGUUGAAUAAAGCCCUUGCCCUGAAAGAGGCCCUAGCCAGGAAGAUAACUCAGAAUGACAGCCAACUACAGCCCAUUCAGUUCCAGUACCAGGAUAACAUAAAAAAUCUAGAAUUGGAAGUAAUCAAUCUGCAAAAGGAAAAGGAAGAAUUGGUUCUUGAACUUCAGACAACAAAGAAGGAUAUCAACCAAGCCAAGUUAAGUGAGCGCCGCCGCAAACGUCUUCAGGAGCUAGAGGGUCAAAUAGCUGAUCUGAAGAAGAAACUGCAUGAACAGUCCAAGCUUCUGAAGCUGAAAGAAUCCACAGAGCAUACAGUCUCCAAACUGAACCAGGAGAUACAAGUGAUGAAAAACCAGCGGGUACAGUUAAUGCGUCAGAUGAAAGAGGAUGCCGAGAAGUUCAGACAGUGGAAGCAACAAAAAGACAAAGAAGUAAUCCAGUUAAAAGAACGAGAUCGUAAGAGGCAAUAUGAACUGCUCAAACUUGAAAGAAACUUCCAGAAACAGUCUAAUGUACUCAGACGUAAAACUGAAGAGGCAGCAGCUGCCAACAAGCGUCUCAAGGAUGCUCUCCAAAAACAACGGGAGGUUGCAGAUAAGCGGAAGGAGGCUCAGAGCCGUGGGAUGGAAGGCAGCACUGCAGCUCGAGUGAAGAAUUGGCUUGGAAAUGAAAUUGAGGUUAUGGUCAGUACUGAGGAAGCCAAACGCCAUCUGAAUGACCUUCUUGAAGAUAGAAAGAUCCUGGCUCAGGAUGUGGCUCAACUCAAAGAAAAGAUGGAAUCUGGGGAGAAUCCACCUCCUAAACUCAGGAGGCGCACAUUCUCACUUGCUGAACUGCGUGGUCAAGUUUCUGAGUCAGAGGACUCCAUUACAAAGCAGAUUGAAAGCCUAGAGACUGAAAUGGAACUCAGGAGUGCUCAGAUUGCUGACCUACAGCAGAAGCUUCUGGAUGCAGAAAGUGAAGACAGGCCAAAACACCGCUGGGAGAAUAUUGCUACCAUUCUGGAAGCCAAGUGUGCCCUGAAAUAUUUAAUUGGAGAGCUGGUCUCCUCCAAAAUACAGGUCAGCAAGCUUGAAAGUAGCCUGAAACAGAAUAAAGCCAGCUGUGCUGACAUGCAGAAGAUGCUGUUUGAAGAACGAAAUCAUUUUGCUGAAAUAGAGACAGAGUUACAGGCAGAGCUGGUCAGAGUGGAGCAACAGCACCAAGAGAAGGUGCUGUACCUUCUCAGUCAGCUACAGCAAAGCCAAAUGGCAGAGAAGCUGCUCGAGGAGUCAGUCAGUGAAAAGGAACAACAACUGUUGAGUACCCUGAAGUGUCAGGAUGAAGAGCUUGAGAAGAUGCGAGAAGUUUGUGAGCAAAAUCAGCAGCUUCUCCGAGAGAAUGAAAUCAUCAAGCAGAAACUGACCCUCCUCCAAGUAGCCAGCAGACAAAAACCUCAUCUUCCUAAGGAUACCCUUCUAUCUCCAGACUCUUCUUUCGAAUAUAUCCCGCCUAAGCCAAAACCUUCCCGUUUUAAAGCAAAGUUCCUGGAGCAAAGCAUGGACAUCGAGGAUCUAAAAUAUUGUUCAGAGCAUUCUGUGAAUGAGCCUGAGGAUGGUGAUGGUGAUGGUGACGAUGGGGAUGAUGAGGAAUGGAAGCCAACAAAAUUAGUUAAGGUGUCCAAGAAGAACAGCCAAGGGUGUUCCUGCAAGGGCUGGUGUGGGAACAAGCAAUGCGGGUGCAGGAGACAAAAGUUGGACUGUGGCAUGGACUGCAGCUGUGACCUCACAAAGUGUAGGAACCGUCAGCAAGGCAAGGAUAGCUUGGGCACUGUUGAGCGGACCCAGGAUUCCGAAGGUUCCUUCAAACUGGAGGAUCCCACAGAGGUGACCCCGGGAUUAAGCUUCUUCAACCCCGUCUGUGCCACUCCCAACAGCAAGAUCCUGAAAGAGAUGUGUGAUGUGGAGCAGGUGCUGUUAAAGAAGACAGCUCCAGCGACCUCCUCCCUUGGCCUCCCAGAGUCAAUACACGUAGCAACAGAAUCCCAAGAAAAUAAAGCUCCAGGGAAGAAAAAGAAACGAGCUCUGGCCAGCAACAUCAGCUUCUUUUCUGGCUGCUCCCCUAUUGAAGAAGAGGCCCACUGAAGUUGGACUCGUCAUUUCGGCCCCAGUCUGGCUUGGGAGAUGCUUGCAGCCAGAAAGGGUUUUUUAAUGACUCCUCUGGAUUUCAGGUUUACUGCUGUUUAAAAGAAGGGACAGCGUGUUACUGAAAGGGAGGGAAACUUUUUUGGAUGUUGGCCCUCGGUCUCUAGCCCCCCAGCCCCAGACUACUACUCUGUCUUCUCCAGGAGGAUGCUAAGCCACCUGCAGAAGCAAGAACCAACUGACCUUCCUGACAACUCAUCAGAAACCAGUCCCCAGCACAGUCUAGCUCCUUCUUAUUUGUGAGCAGCUAAGGCCGUCUCCAGACGAGGCUGAGGCUGUCUUAUCUCUGGGUUAUCUCAGCUUAACAGCGGAGCAAAUGGCAGAACCUGGUCUGAGCUGGAGGACUGGCACCUAUCCUUCACCCCACCUCAGGAAUGGGGUUGGGAUCUUUCCUGCCCUGACCGUCUCUGGAUUUUAAGUGUUUUAACAGUACCCUCCAUUGUCUUCCAUGUUGCUGAGCAAAAAAAAAGCUCCCAAAGAACCGCCCAGAACUCAGCACAUGAAAGCCAAGACUCCUCUAGAAUCCAACGGAGCCCAAGCAAAGGAAACUGAAGGACAACCUGCCUAGAAUGAAGCCUGCAGGAGGACUAGGUGACUUGGUAGCC